AACGAACGCUGGCGGCAGGCUUAACACAUGCAAGUCGAGCGCCCCGCAAGGGGAGCGGCAGACGGGUGAGUAACGCGUGGGAAUCUACCCUGAACUGCGGAAUAGCUCCGGGAAACUGGAAUUAAUACCGCAUGUGCCCUGAGGGGCAAAGAUUUAUCGGUUCAGGAUGAGCCCGCGUCCGAUUAGCUAGUUGGUGGGGUAAAGGCCUACCAAGGCGACGAUCGGUAGCUGGUCUAAGAGGAUGAUCAGCCACAUUGGGACUGAGACACGGCCCAA
This 276-nucleotide ribosomal RNA is filed under the name uncultured bacterium. RNAcentral describes it as "partial 16S ribosomal RNA". It matches the Rfam family "Bacterial small subunit ribosomal RNA", at positions 29 to 334 of the family's 1533-position model. The record is from RNAcentral.